UACGUAGGGGGCAAGCGUUGUCCGGAAUUAUUGGGCGUAAAGAGCGUGUAGGCGGUCCGGUAAGUCAGCUGUGAAAGUCAAGGGCUCAACCCUUGAAAGCCGGUUGAUACUGUCGGGCUAGAGUCCGGAAGAGGAGAGUGGAAUUCCUGGUGUAGCGGUGAAAUGCGCAGAUAUCAGGAAGAACACCCGUGGCGAAAGCGGCUCUCUGGGACGGUACUGACGCUGAGACGCGAAAGCGUGGGGAGCGAACAGG
Molecule: ribosomal RNA, 253 nt
Filed under: uncultured bacterium
Lineage: Bacteria
Description: partial 16S ribosomal RNA
Rfam family: Bacterial small subunit ribosomal RNA
Source: RNAcentral